GAAGCUCCUCUUUCGUGCGCGUCUCAUCGGGUCGCUUCGCAGCGGCACGUGUGCGCGGGCUGUUCGUCUCCUUCUGCUUUACGCAUACCAAUGAUGUAAGCGCAUCGCCACACACGCGCACACACACCAGCACACCGAUAGGCCCACAAAGGGAGCACGAGGGAGGAGCGAGGUUGAACGGAAAGGGGGACUCUUUCAUCACCGCACUUCUCUGCUUCUCUAUACUCUUGUUGUUUAAGCUUGCCAGAAGCCGUGAGCGUGUGUGUCUGUGUAUGUGUGUUAGGCCUCAGGAACGUAACCGUAGGAGGGCGGCGUCGUGAACGUUUAGGCGGAAGCGCGUGCGCACACUAGAAUACGGCGUGACGUGGGAGGGAGAGGGAAGGGGCGACGACGGCACGUCUUCUGUAACCGUCUCAGAGGCCGCAGCUUCGAGUAAAGGUGAAUCCGCUGCUGUGUACUCGCAUAACCGUCUCCUUUUUCUCUUCGUCUAGUCCAUCUCAACAUCCGUCAUGUCUCGUGCCAGAGAAGUCUCGCAGAAGCUCACCUGCUAUGGGGGCAUCACACUGCCGAACAUCCCACGCAUCGCUCCAGAUGAGAAGAGCCGGCAGAAGUACCUCAGCGAGUACGAAAAGUAUGAACCGGAGCUGCGCCGCCAUCACUUGGGAGAUGCAGAGACAACCAACACGAUAGGACUCAAGGACGUCCCACCAGACUUUGAUCGAACGAUGCCGUCUCUCUUGGACCCCACCGCAGCAGAAGUGGAGUACGAGCGGGCCCGCGAGGGUAGAAAAGCACAGGUGCUGCGCAAAGGUCACCGCGGCGCCAGCGCCCGGGUAGCCCAAGCCGCCGGAACGGUGAAUCCGGCACCGGCUGCGCGAAAGUCCAUCUCGCCGCAGCCGUCGCAGACUGCGCUGGCAGAUGAGGAGCCCCAGCAAAAGGGCACCCCGUCCCCCUCAUCCCCUUCUAGUGCAGCUGGCACGCCCACAACCGCCGCUACAGCGGCUUCGGCAGCGAGUGAAGAAGCUGCGCGACUCACCCCUGUCGAAGCCGACGGAACGCGCACCUGGGAUGCAGUCGUGAUCGAGGCCGCACCUGCACACGUGCCUCGGCCGCCCUCAGAACGCUCGCAUCCGAAGUCCGCGACGGCCACGACACCUAUGAGUCAGCCUCGCGCACGCACCGCCCCUUCCUUGAAGCCGCAGCAGGAUGCCACACGCCUCGGAACGAGAACCGGCACGUCACCUGCCGCUUCUGCCCGAGCGGCGAGGCCGAAGUCGCGUCCGCGAGCUCAGCCCGAGCGAGCGACCACGCCUGCCACAGCCCCCACCACUCCACGCAGACUCCGCACCCCGUUCGCCGCGCAUGAACCACCUACCGCGGAAUCUACGGCGCGUGUGCUGCGUGUGCUGCUCGACCCGCCACAGCAGUACGCCAGCUCCCUCCAUCUCGACCUGUCUUCCUUUGACCUCGGGUGGCUGCGGAACGGGCAGGCGGCGCCACGUCACCUCACCACCAUCGCGAAGCACUUCAACGACAAUGGGGCAUCGCCGCAGCUCCGCAUCAACUCACCACGCUCCGUGAUCGCUUUCCUGGAGAACGGCGCCUCGCCCAAGGACUGGGACCCGAGAAGCAGUGCCGCUUCCGCCUCCGCUGCCGCGCUGGGAGGCGCGACGCAGGACAUGGCUGCAGUGCAGGUAGAGGUGCAUGAGCACCGCCGCGCGUACGUGCAGGCCCAACGCGAUGCUCUGCGCCGCACCCUGCAGGAUAGCUACUCGGUGCUCUGCGCCCGUGUCCCUUUCAAUGAGCUCGUCGGUUGGUACCGUCGUCUGUGCGAGGCAGACAUGCUGGCAGAUGCGGCGCUUGAGGAGCAGCAGCAUUCCUUGGCAACGGCGGUGCGGCAGCUGCAGGAACGACAGCGGCAGGUGUUCGAGACCAACAAGAUUCGCAUGAUGCGCCAGAUGCAGCAGGCCAAAGAACUGCAGGAGCGCCAGGAAGCCUCGGUGCAGCGGAAACUGCAAGCGGAGGCGGAGGCAGGGGAGCUGCGACGCCAAAAGGCGCUUGAGGAACAGGAGCGUCGUCGACUGCAGCAGGCCCGCCUAGAGGCGCACCGAGCCGAACGGCAGCGCCGGGAAGAGGCGUACAAGCAGCAGCUGCAGGCUCGCCUCAACAGGGCAGAGACCUGCAACGCCGAACGUAUGGCUGCGCGCGAGAGGCAGCUGCAGGCAAUGCAGCAGCGGCGCGAGGCGCAAGAGGCUGAGCGGCUUCGCCGGUUGGAGCGCAGCACGGCGGUACUCGAAGAGAAGUUUGCCGCAAAAGAGCAGAAACGGCGGGAAAAGGCAGCGAAGCUGGAGCAGCUGCGCGCGGCACGCGAGGCACGACUCGCAGAAGAGCGCCGCGCGCUUGCAGAGAAGCAGCAGCGAGCUGCAUACCUGCGAGAAGAAGCGAAACGGCGCUCGGAGGAGGCAGAAGAAGCGGCGCGGCGGGAGGCCCUGCAGCGUCAGCAGCACGCCGAGGAGCGCUUGCGCGAGUUUCAGUCCCGUCGGCACGAAGAGGCCGCGCAGCGGGCGGUCGCAGCGGCGGCGCACCACGAGCGCUGUAACGAAAUCCGCUCCCAGGCGUUGGCGAAGGAGGAGCUGUUCAAGGCGACCGUCGAGGAUAAGCAUCGCCAAAGCGAGGAGCACCACCGCGAAAGGCAGUCGCGCCAGCUGACCGAAUUUAUGUGGCGCCGCGAGGCAAACUGGGAGGAGGAGGAGGCCAAGACGUAUGCCGUGCUGCAGCUGCAGCGCAUCGCCGAGUUCAACAAGCUGCACACCGUCGUCGACCUCUUGGAAAAGCGCAAGGCCGCUAACGCGGUCGUGCGACACCGUGAGCUCAUUUGCGAAAAGGUGAUGCGCGCUCGCGACGAGUUGCGGGCGGGGCGGGACAUCUUGAAGCAAGAGAUAGAAAAAUCGUCUUAGGAGACGUGGCGGUGAGCAGAGUGGUGUGUGUGCGAUGUCAUGCAGGCCACUGCACGGCGUAUUUUUUCGUUGAAGGCACGGCAGCAAGGACGAUAUCUCUUCCUCGAGAUUAUACUACGCUAUCGAGCGUGUGAGGUGAAGUGAAUCGAUUGAUCUUCGACUUUUUUUGUCUCGGUGGUGCGUUGAUAUGUUGUGCGCAGGUGUGUGUGUGUGCAUACCGUUGUCUAUCCUUUUCGACCAUGUAAUCUAGUCUCUCCCAGCAUGUAUUGUGAUACACUUUUAUCAUCGUUUGUGUAGGUACUCGUGUGCACAAGUGUGUGUGUGUGUGUGUGUGUGUGUGCAUGUCGCGAUCUCCUCCCUCCCCCUCAUUAUUUUCUUUUCGAUCAUUAUUCUCACCUGCUGUCGGAGGCCGGUGACGUGCAGGUGAUGGAGUAAAAGCUGCCUUCCCCGUAUCCCGGUGAUG
RNAcentral lists this unclassified non-coding RNA (3420 nucleotides) under Leishmania donovani. RNAcentral's name for it is "gene:LdHU3.36.4730(CDS-product:hypothetical_prote in_conserved)". Lineage: Eukaryota; Euglenozoa; Kinetoplastea; Trypanosomatida; Trypanosomatidae. The record is from RNAcentral.